ACAUUGCAAGUUUUAGGAUACAUAGUGAUUCUUCUGCAGUAGCACUUAUUGAAGCCUUUGCAGCCUCGCAAGAGGUCUGUACCCGCGACUUAAAAUAAUGGGUCGGCGUCUUCAGUUCACCUGGGAUGUGCAAGUCAGCGGCCUCCGCUGGCAACACCUUCGAAUUGCGGGGAUACCCUGAAGCCUGGAUCUACCAACUUAGCAGGGAAAUCUUGCUAAUGGCCUAUGUUAACAUCAUAGGGUAGGGUAAAAAGGAUCUUGGAUGUGCUCUCUGAGCUGAUGGGCGAUCCGCAGCCAAGUCCCUAAGGCGGCCUCUCUGGUGGGCGGGCUAUGGGAAAGGUUCACAGACUAAGUGGAGGUGGGUAGGCCCGUGAGGGUCCUGCUUAAGAUAUAGUCGGGCCCCUGGGGAAACCUGGGGGGUAAGCUACAUGCGCUAUAUACCGUUCCGUAGGUGAACCUGCGGAAGGAUCAUUACCGAGUACCGGGUCUCUCAGGCCCUUACUCCCACCCUUUGUGUACCUAUCUUACCUUUAGUUGCCUUGGCGGGCACCUCUAUCCCUAGAGGUCCCGCCAUGGGAACGCUUAUUAAACUCUUGUCAACGGUGUAGUCUGAGUAUAAGUUUAAUAAAUUAAAACUUUCAACAACGGAUCUCUUGGUUCUGGCAUCGAUGAAGAACGCAGCGAAAUGCGAUAAGUAAUGUGAAUUGCAGAAUUUAGUGAAUCAUCGAAUCUUUGAACGCACAUUGCGCCCUUUGGUAUUCCGAGGGGCAUGCCUGUUCGAGCGUCAUUUCAACCCUCAAGCUCUGCUUGGUAUUGGGCCCUCGUCCGCCUAGGACGUGCCCGAAACUCGUAGGCGGUAGUGCCCAGCUCCUGGCGUAGUCAUGUUACCCGCUCUGGAGGACUUGGGACCCACCCGCCGGAUAACCUCUAUUUCUCUAUGGUUUGACCUCGGAUCAGGUAGGGAUACCCG
Molecule: ribosomal RNA, 970 nt
Filed under: Thaxteriellopsis lignicola
Lineage: Eukaryota; Fungi; Ascomycota; Dothideomycetes; Tubeufiales; Tubeufiaceae
Description: eukaryotic LSU rRNA
Rfam family: 5.8S ribosomal RNA (bases 634-787)
Source: RNAcentral